This 355-nucleotide unclassified non-coding RNA is filed under the name soil metagenome. RNAcentral describes it as "partial contains 5.8S ribosomal RNA, internal transcribed spacer 2, and large subunit ribosomal RNA". The stretch from base 1 to 120 matches the Rfam family "5.8S ribosomal RNA", at positions 35 to 154 of the family's 154-position model. The record is from RNAcentral.
GAUGAAGAACGUAGCGAAAUGCGAUAAGUAAUGUGAAUUGCAGAAUUCAGUGAAUCAUCGAAUCUUUGAACGCACAUUGCGCCCAUUAGUAUUCUAGUGGGCAUGCCAGUUCGAGCGUCAUUAAGUCCACUUAAGCCCUGCUUAGUGUUGGGAGACUGCUCCAGCGGUGCUACCCUGUAGCUACCCUGCAGCUCCUCAAAGACAGCGGCGGAGUUGUGGUAUCCUCUGAGCUUAGUAACUUGUUCUAGCUUUCGAGUACACCCCUUCCCCUGCCGUAAAACCCUUAAUUUUUUAUGGUUGACCUCGGAUCAGGUAGGAAUACCCGCUGAACUUAAGCAUAUCAAUAAGCGGAGGA